UACGGAGGGUGCAAGCGUUAUCCGGAUUCACUGGGUUUAAAGGGUGCGUAGGCGGGUAUAUAAGUCAGUGGUGAAAGCUCCGAGCUUAACUUGGAAACUGCCAUUGAUACUGUAUAUCUUGAAUAUCGUAGAGGUUAGCGGAAUGUUGCAUGUAGCGGUGAAAUGCUUAGAUAUGUUACAGAACACCAAUUGCGAAGGCAGCUAACUAUGCGACAAUUGACGCUGAGGCACGAAAGCGUGGGGAGCAAACAGGAUUAGAUACCCUGGUAGUCCACGCCCUAAACGAUGAUUACUCGAUGUUGGCGAUACACUGUCAGCGUCUUAGCGAAAGCGUUAAGUAAUCCACCUGGGGAGUACGCUCGCAAGAGUGAA
Molecule: ribosomal RNA, 372 nt
Filed under: uncultured bacterium
Lineage: Bacteria
Description: bacterial SSU rRNA
Rfam family: Bacterial small subunit ribosomal RNA
Source: RNAcentral